Molecule: long non-coding RNA, 2765 nt
Organism: Monodelphis domestica (gray short-tailed opossum)
Lineage: Eukaryota; Metazoa; Chordata; Mammalia; Didelphimorphia; Didelphidae
Source: Ensembl
GCCGUCGGGGCUCCUAACUCCUCUACUCCGGGCUCCCGGGACUGCAAGGGGCUGGAGUGUCGGCUCCCUCCGUUGAGGCUGGCGCGCCAGAAACACAGAGCCGCCGGCGGCCGGGUCCCUGUCUUCCAGCAACAGGGCGAAGGCUGCGCGGGGACCGGACUAGGGCCAGAAGAACCCACCUUGGUCCGGGUCAACGAGCGAGCCGCGCAGUUCAUCGGGGAGGUGACCCCAGAAUUGGCCCACCCCGCCCCUGACCUAGGGGGCGCAGGCCUGGGCGUGCAGCUCACCUGCGACAUCAGGCCAGGAGAAAAUGAGGUUCCUUCUGAAGAUGCACUUAUCCUGCAACUGCAGCUUGCUAAAGGACAAGAAAAAUUUGUUGAGAUGUUAAAAAACCAGCAGAAAGUAAUUGCUGAUUUGCAGGACAAACUCACUGAGCAACAGAACACACUGAUUAGCCAGCAAAGAGAAAUCCUAGAACAACAGAAAAAAAUGUACGAGCAAAUGAAUCUCAUUAAGGUCCAGUACAGCAUGCUUUUUGACACAGUAAAACAAAUGUCAUUCCAGAAUUUGCAGGAGGACAUCCAGCGUUACUUUCAAACUCAUCUUCAAGGACUUCAGAACCAGGUCAGAAAUCAUCUGCAAAAGUCGUACUCUGUGCAUAAAGUUGAAGUUGAUGCAAAAAUGAUUGAUGUGGGAGAAACUUCACUGGACUGUGGCCUUUGUGAAAGUGAUGAAUUUUGCAAUUUCCAGAAGACACCCUCUCAGUGUGAAAAAUGCACUCUUUGCCCUGCUGGAUUUUUCCAAAUGUCUGAAUGUUCUGCAAACACUGACCGCAUUUGUCAGGACAGAGAUGAAUGCACUGAAUUACCAAAUGUUUGUGGUGAAAGAAUAAAAUGCCUGAAUACCCCAGGUGGCUUCCGAUGCCUGGGCAUCGCAGAGAAGGACGCCGCCCUCGGCUUUUGUGGGGAUGGUUACUUCUUCAAUAGGGAAAUACAAGAAUGCCAGGCUUGUUGGGAGUGUGAUGAUGGCAUGGUGGCUCUCCCCUGCUCCGCAGUCAGUGACACGGUGUGCUCAGCAGCCAUGGAAACCCAGCUCACUAAGUCUUGGGCUGCGGAUCUACAGCUGCCCUCCGCGAAGUCUGCCUCGGUCCAGGUCUAUCCCGGUUUGGACCUUAAGCUAAAAGGGAAGAGGAAAUUCGAUAUUGCCUUCGUGGAGGACAGCAAACUGGUCUUCAGGCAGCAUGGCCUACUCUGGGUUGACCUCAACUUUGCCGUGAAACACAACUGUAGGAAUUUCCUCCAGCUCUCCCUCAAGUCAAAUAGCAGCGAGGAGGGGGCUGAGCUCAGCGGAGUUCGUCUAGAACAGCCCGAAGGAAAGUACUUCCAGAGCGCCAGCUUAAGUAGCGCGGCCGAAGUGGAACCGAGUCAGACCCUGGCGGUGUUCCUGAGAAGCCCAAAUCAGUUCUGCAACCGAAGCAAAGACUUGAACGUGUACGAUCUCACCAGUCCGCUCAGCUUGUUCUGGCUGUCCCACGACACCGGGGCGGUGGCCAUGAGCGCCCAGAUGUCCACGGCCAUGCAUUACCAGACCAACUACCGCCCUACGUUUAAAAUCAGUUCCAUUUCGGAUCCGUACAUGGUCAGCCUCUCUCACGAUGGAAGGGGGGUAAGGUUCACCGAGGCCGGGGUCAUUAAGUUUGUUUUCCACCAGGCUCUGUAUUCCAUGGGUCACACCUGUGUCCGAGAAGGCUUUUCCUUGAUUUCUUAUAUCGGCAGGAAUGGCACCAACGUAGAGCUGAUGAACACGUUCAAAUCGGGAGUGAAUUACCGCGACACUUCUCUGUCUGCCUCGGGGGCAGUCGGAGUCCAGGCUGGAGAUCAGAUUAAUUUUGAGAUUUUCUCGCCAGCCCAGUGUAGCGUGCGCUACUUUGGGGACAGUUUGGGCGUGAGCGCAUUCAGCCUCAUCUGGAUCCCAUCUGCCGUUUCCUCUGCUCUUUCAGCCACCGUUUCCGCAACAGGCCUGCCUACUGGAGCUGUCAGGAACAAAUUUUUGGAUUUCAAACUUGUCACAUCCAAUGAGAAACAGAUCCAGCUGGUUUCUUCUGGACAGUACGCUCAGAGGUACUUCAAGUUUACCGAGAAGGGAGUUGCCAGCGUUGCUUUUAACUUAAAGUUGAUCCACUCUUGUAAUGUGAUCAAAGUUACCUUAAAUCAUUUGAUUGAGGAUCCACCACACCCAGCGCCAAUUGCUCAGCAAAUUGGGGGUCAGAUGCCCGAGGGAAGCAUAUGGACCAGUGUCAGCCUCUGUUCUUCUUUUGAAGUUCACAAUGGUACCAUGAUCUCCAUUUCUCUCGAUUGUGUUCGAGGAAGGAUCAAUCAGAUUUCCCACCAGCGUGGGACCGGCAUAUCAAUCUUAUGGAUCUCAUCUUAACUUUUUUAAGGGCUAGAAAAAACUGAUGGGUAGCUUUGAAGCACCCUCUGGACAUCGUUCAGGAUAAAGCAGUUUGUGAAACUACACAAGGUCUUGUAGAAAUAUCCUUAUUUCAAGAUGUAAGGUUAUUUACCCAAAGAGAAGACUUUCUUUAAAAAAAAAAACAAACCACCAACUUGCACUGUUAAUAUUUCCCUCCUCUAAGAAUUGGAGUUACAGACUCUUGGAUUCAAUCUGGGUUCUAGUUUUUGACAACAUAGUCUUAUUAAAUGCAGGGUCUGUGUAAACAUUACGAGAAAGUAAAAUGAAUAAAAACAAUUUGUCACAGAAAUUCA